GGGGCUGCCCGGUUUUGACAGCAUCGAUCUUUGAAGGUGUAAGCAUGCAGUGCUUUGGGUAAUCGGCACUUUAAUCUCGAAGACUCAAACUUUAAAUGGCAAUACUCAGUAUGCCAUGGCUGCCUAAUCAGUGAUUAGAUAGUCAUUCGGGCCGCCCGGCAGGUUAGCCUAUUACCAUGCCCCGCCGCCGACUCAAAACAAACAUAGGAUGCUGCUGCAGAAGGCUGUGACUGCCGCUUAAGACCAUCCAGCUAAGGAGACGAUUGGUUUGUCCGGUUCCUGCCGCCUCCCGACAAUCAAUGCCGGAAUAAGCAUGUAGAAAGCUUUUGGGGAUGAUGUUUGGACAGGGGUUCGACUCCCCUCAGCUCCACUU
RNAcentral lists this transfer-messenger RNA (373 nucleotides) under Chitinophagaceae. RNAcentral describes it as "Puia sp001898505 Standard tmRNA". It matches the Rfam family "transfer-messenger RNA". Rfam says of the family: Bacterial tmRNA, also known as 10Sa RNA or SsrA, is named for its dual tRNA and mRNA-like properties. Its role is to liberate the mRNA from a stalled ribosome. Lineage: Bacteria; Pseudomonadati; Bacteroidota; Chitinophagia; Chitinophagales. The record is from RNAcentral. RNAcentral also lists the same sequence under 2 other names.